GCAGCUGUAGCUUAGCUGGCUUAAAGCGCCUCCCUGUCACGGAGGAGAUCGCCGGUUCGAAUCCGGUCAGCUGCG
This 75-nucleotide transfer RNA is filed under the name Candidatus Wildermuthbacteria bacterium. Its description in RNAcentral is "tRNA-Asp". It matches the Rfam family "tRNA". From Rfam's summary of the family: Transfer RNA (tRNA) molecules are approximately 80 nucleotides in length. Their secondary structure includes four short double-helical elements and three loops (D, anti-codon, and T loops). Further hydrogen bonds mediate the characteristic L-shaped molecular structure. tRNAs have two regions of fundamental functional importance: the anti-codon, which is responsible for specific mRNA codon recognition, and the 3' end, to which the tRNAs corresponding amino acid is attached (by aminoacyl-tRNA synthetases). tRNAs cope with the degeneracy of the genetic code in two manners: having more than one tRNA (with a specific anti-codon) for a particular amino acid; and 'wobble' base-pairing, i.e. permitting non-standard base-pairing at the 3rd anti-codon position. Lineage: Bacteria; Candidatus Wildermuthiibacteriota. The record is from RNAcentral.